GAUGACGGCAUCAGAUUUGAAGUAAAGAUUUAUCGGUAAUGGAUGGGGAUGCGUCUGAUUAGCUUGUUGGCGGGGUAACGGCCCACCAAGGCUACGAUCAGUAGGGGUUCUGAGAGGAAGGUCCCCCACAUUGGAACUGAGACACGGUCCAAACUCCUACGGGAGGCAGCAGUGAGGAAUAUUGGUCAAUGGACGGAAGUCUGAACCAGCCAAGUAGCGUGCAGGAUGACGGCCCUAUGGGUUGUAAACUGCUUUUGUAUGGGGAUAAAGUUAGGGACGUGUCCCUAUUUGCAGGUACCAUACGAAUAAGGACCGGCUAAUUCCGUGCCAGCAGCCGCGGUAAUACGGAAGGUCCAGGCGUUAUCCGGAUUUAUUGGGUUUAAAGGGAGCGUAGGCUGGAGAUUAAGUGUGUUGUGAAAUGUAGACGCUCAACGUCUGAAUUGCAGCGCAUACUGGUUUCCUUGAGUACGCACAACGUUGGCGGAAUUCGUCGUGUAGCGGUGAAAUGCUUAGAUAUGACGAAGAACUCCGAUUGCGAAGGCAGCUGACGGGAGCGCAACUGACGCUUAAGCUCGAAGGUGCGGGUAUCAAACAGGAUUAGAUACCCUGGUAGUCCGCACAGUAAACGAUGGAUGCCCGCUGUUGGUACCUGGUAUCAGCGGCUAAGCGAAAGCAUUAAGC
This 681-nucleotide ribosomal RNA is filed under the name uncultured Prevotella sp. Its description in RNAcentral is "bacterial SSU rRNA". It matches the Rfam family "Bacterial small subunit ribosomal RNA", at positions 172 to 865 of the family's 1533-position model. The record is from RNAcentral. Lineage: Bacteria; Pseudomonadati; Bacteroidota; Bacteroidia; Bacteroidales; Prevotellaceae.